This 243-nucleotide long non-coding RNA is filed under the name Gossypium barbadense (sea-island cotton). Its description in RNAcentral is "long non-coding RNA (GBAR_LNC022806)". Lineage: Eukaryota; Viridiplantae; Streptophyta; Magnoliopsida; Malvales; Malvaceae. The record is from RNAcentral.
UUGCUAAGCCCUUGUAGUUGAUAAGGUUGUGGAUGCUUGGUAGUGGUUAAGCAAAGCUUUUCCACCAUCGUCGUGCUGGCUAUGUUCGAGCAACUUUCACCAUCAAUAAUAACUCUACAAAGCUUACCUUGUACAUGGCAGCGAGUAUGAAAGAGAUGUUCUCGCUGCUGCUCACUCUUUGGUUUUGCCAAAGAUGAUUGUCCACGAUCAUGAAAAUCAUCAUCCAUUCUAGGGACACGUUGA